This is a long non-coding RNA of Triticum aestivum (bread wheat), 1523 nucleotides long. RefSeq lists it as uncharacterized. Lineage: Eukaryota; Viridiplantae; Streptophyta; Magnoliopsida; Poales; Poaceae. The transcript is spliced from 3 exons. The record is from RefSeq and is a predicted model, not a curated record.
GCACCACUCAGUAAGGGACCGAUUGGAUCCUAGAAUUUAAUUGAAAAAUAGUAUAACACAGCUACCUACGAGCCUCCACGACGUUUCGAGUCUCUUAGCCGUCGGAUCGCUGUAAUGUACGAUCUAGAUCACUUCUCGGUCGUCUCCAAAUCGUUGACGCGCUCCAGAAGUCGUUUCGCGGGCUGCUGCUUCACAGAAUGAGCGUCCGUUUCUCUCAAUGAUCGGGCCAUCAAAGGCCCAAGUCGAGUUGAAGCAAUUCCACUCCCACGGGCCACAAGUCGUCCAGUUUGUUGCGAGCGCUAUCCCCUCACCUGCUUUGUUCCUUGACUUCCUUCGCCCACGCCGCCGCCGUUCCAUCGUCUGCGAUGCGCCGCCGCUGUCCUCCGUCCCGUCGGCGAGCUUCUGCUGCGCGUCUGCCUCCGCAUCGGUGCCCUCCACUCGCCCUGUUCUCUUCCUCUGCAGGCCCCUUUAAUUUCGUGUCUUGCAGCUUUCCUCCAUUGCGGCUGCGCCGGCCGCCCAUGCCGUCGACUUCUCGCCAGCCGUCCUCCUCCUGCAUACGCCUCCAUGUCCUUGCAGCUGUACCGCGUGUUCAUCCCCAUUCCGUAACUGAAGCUGAAACUGCCCCUGUAAUUGUCCUGAUAAAGGUCCAUUGUCUACCUCCUGUAUGCCUCUAUCCUCUAUUUUGUGAAUCCCCUUGGCACCGAUCAUUGAGAGACACAUGGAGAGGUAAAACUUAAUCAGUUAGGUUGUUAUGUGUGUUGAAUUAUUAGCUUGGUCAAUAAGAAAGCUAAUUGAAACUCAGUUUCUUCGGGAUGCAAGAUAAUUACUGGUUGAAAUCGCUUUCCUAAGAAAGUAAUCAAUAUACGGCAUUGGUCGAACAAAAUGAGCAGCAAGCCAGCAACGACCCAAUACCCCAGGAGUGAUUUUUGUUGUUCUUGAUGGGCCACUUAUUUUAUCAAACCAUUGUUGGUAUAGGAGGAUAAUUUACUAUGAUUCAGUUGCUAAGAAUGCUCUGAUGUGUAGUUGACGUGGGAAGACAAGUUUGUUUAACAAAAGGACAAGAUUCUGGUAAUCUGGAAGUAUGAAAUGCACCGAACGCCAACAUAGCAGAACCUGUAUUCCAUAGGGUUCAGGAUGGUCUAACAAGCCCGAGGCUUUGAGCUCCACGGAAACUAUUUCUAUGGUGAAAACUGAAAAGAGUGAGAAGUCAGCCCUUGGAGACAUGGAACACACAUAAAUUAUUUGAAGAUCAUAUUAUUCGGGAGACCAAUAAUAGUUAUGUCAAUCUGCCUCGAUUAUUAUGUGAGAAACCCUUACUUUCCCCCAAUCCAUCAAAUUUAGGAAUCUAGCUACAAAAUGUGAUCUCUUUAUGGUCAGUGGAGCUUUAUCGCAAUCUUUUAUGAGAUUAAUUUAUAACUUUUAGUUUCAGAGAUCAACUUUCUAUUUAUCAUGAGCUAAUAGGGAAAAGCUACAGAAAGCUGAAUAUGGCGUUCAUGUUUAUUUCAUUUUUUCCUUUCUUUAAA